Molecule: small nuclear RNA, 99 nt
Organism: Lycium ferocissimum
Lineage: Eukaryota; Viridiplantae; Streptophyta; Magnoliopsida; Solanales; Solanaceae
Source: RefSeq, a predicted model, not a curated record
UCCCUUGGAAGAAAUCUGAUAAAAUUGAAAAGAUGCAGAGAUGAUUAACAUAACUCAAACAUAAGGAUACAGAAAAAUCGAGAAAUGAACCAAUUUUUU